UGGGGAAUCUUGGACAAUGGGCGCAAGCCUGAUCCAGCCAUGCCGCGUGGAUGAUGAAGGCCCUAGGGUUGUAAAAUCCUUUCGUUGGGGACGAUAAUGACGGUACCCAAAGAAGAAGCUCCGGCUAACUUCGUGCCAGCAGCCGCGGUAAUACGAAGGGGGCUAGCGUUGUUCGGAUUUACUGGGCGUAAAGCGCGUGUAGGCGGGUCGUUAAGUUGGGGGUGAAAUCCCGAGGCUCAACCUCGGAACUGCCUUCAAAACUGGCGACCUGGACUCAAGUAGAGGCAAGUGGAAUUGCGAGUGUAGAGGUGAAAUUCGUAGAUAUUCGCAGGAACACCAGUGGCGAAGGCGACUUGCUGGACUUGUAGUGACGCUGAGGUGCGAAAGCAUGGGGAUCAAACAGGAUUAGAUACCCACGUAGUCCCUGAGCGGGCUGGCAAGGCGCAU
RNAcentral lists this ribosomal RNA (447 nucleotides) under uncultured bacterium. RNAcentral's name for it is "bacterial SSU rRNA". It matches the Rfam family "Bacterial small subunit ribosomal RNA", at positions 355 to 825 of the family's 1533-position model. The record is from RNAcentral.